AUUGAACGCUGGCGGCAGGCUUAACACAUGCAAGUCGAGCGGGGUGAUGGUGCUUGCACUAUCACUUAGCGGCGGACGGGUGAGUAAUGCUUAGGAAUCUGCCUAUUAGUGGGGGACAACAUCUCGAAAGGGAUGCUAAUACCGCAUACGUCCUACGGGAGAAAGCAGGGGAUCACUUGUGACCUUGCGCUAAUAGAUGAGCCUAAGUCGGAUUAGCUAGUUGGUGGGGUAAAGGCCUGCCAAGGCGACGAUCUGUAGCGGGUCUGAGAGGAUGAUCCGCCACACUGGGACAGAGACACGGCCCAGACGCCUACGGGAGGCAGCGGUGGGGAAUAUUGGACAAUGGGUGGAACCCUGAUCCAGCCAUGCCGCGUGUGUGAAGAAGGCCUUAUGGUUGUAAAGCACUUGAAGCGAGGAGGAGGCUCUUUUGGUUAAUACCCAAGAUGAGUGGACGUUACUCGCAGAAUAAGCACCGGCUAACUCUGUGCCAGCAGCCGCCGUAA
Molecule: ribosomal RNA, 503 nt
Filed under: uncultured bacterium
Lineage: Bacteria
Description: partial 16S ribosomal RNA
Rfam family: Bacterial small subunit ribosomal RNA
Source: RNAcentral